UUACGGCCACAUCACGUUGAAACUCCGGUUCCUGUUAGUUCACCGAAGUUACACAACGUAGAGCCUCGUUAUUACUUUGAUAAAUGUCCUCUUGGGAAUACCAGGUGCUGUAAG
This is a non-coding RNA of Acanthosepion pharaonis, 114 nucleotides long. The record is from the annotation of a GenBank genome assembly. Lineage: Eukaryota; Metazoa; Mollusca; Cephalopoda; Sepiida; Sepiidae.